GAUGAACGCUGGCGGCGUGCCUAAUACAUGCAGGUCGAGCGAACGGACGAGAAGCUUGCUUCUCUGAUGUUAGCGGCGGACGGGUGAGUAACACGUGGAUAACCUACCUAUAAGACUGGGAUAACUUCGGGAAACCGGAGCUAAUACCGGAUAAUAUUUUGAACCGCAAGGUUCAAAAGUGAAAGACGGUCUUGCUGUCACUUAUAGAUGGAUCCGCUCUGCAUUAGCAAGUUGGUAAGGUAACGGCUUACCAAGGCAACGAUGCAAAGCCGACCUGCUAGGGUAAUCGGCCACGCUGGAACUGAGACACGGUCCAGCCCCCUACGGGACGCCCCGGUAGGCAACCUUGCGAGAUGGACCCAUGCCUAACGGAUCAACACCACGUCAGUUAUGAGGGUCUUCGGACCGUCAAACUCUGUUAUUAGGGAAGGACAUAUGUGUAAGUGACUGUGCACAUCUUGCCGGUACCUCAUCAGAAACCCACGUCUAACUACGUG
Molecule: ribosomal RNA, 497 nt
Filed under: uncultured bacterium
Lineage: Bacteria
Description: partial 16S ribosomal RNA
Rfam family: Bacterial small subunit ribosomal RNA
Source: RNAcentral